UAUGUAGGGUGCGAGCGUUGUCCGGAAUUAUUGGGCGUAAAGAGCUCGUAGGCGGUGUGUCGCGUCGGCCGUGAAAACCUGGGGCUCAACUCUGGGCGUGCGGUCGAUACGGGCAUCACUUGAGUUCGGCAGGGGAGACUGGAAUUCCUGGUGUAGCGGUGAAAUGCGCAGAUAUCAGGAGGAACACCGGUGGCGAAGGCGGGUCUCUGGGCCGAUACUGACGCUGAGGAGCGAAAGCAUGGGUAGCGAACAGG
RNAcentral lists this ribosomal RNA (254 nucleotides) under uncultured bacterium. Its description in RNAcentral is "partial 16S ribosomal RNA". It matches the Rfam family "Bacterial small subunit ribosomal RNA", at positions 524 to 776 of the family's 1533-position model. The record is from RNAcentral.